GCGAGGAUGAAGAAGAAAAUCAUUUGGAUUCCCAUUGACUUGUAAAACAUGAGAUCUCUAACCAGCUACUUCUGACUCAU
Hordeum vulgare subsp. vulgare (domesticated barley) is the source of this 80-nucleotide non-coding RNA. The record is from Rfam. NCBI's taxonomy places the organism in Eukaryota, Viridiplantae, Streptophyta, Magnoliopsida, Poales, Poaceae.